Bos taurus (domestic cattle) is the source of this 1684-nucleotide long non-coding RNA. The record is from Ensembl. NCBI's taxonomy places the organism in Eukaryota, Metazoa, Chordata, Mammalia, Artiodactyla, Bovidae.
CUUAACUCUUGCAAUAAACUGAAGAUGCUAACAAUGUUUGCAUAUAUCCAUAUUCAAUACCUGACCAGUAUUGUUUCAUUAUCUCAUUUUUUUUGCCAAAUAAGGUGGUAUAAAAUGGUACAAUAAAGUAAUUUUAAAUUUCAUUGCUUUAAUUACGAGAGAGGAAGCAAACUUUUCUGUACAAUGAUUGUAGGUAUCUAAGAAUUGUCCACAUGUGAUAGAACUGUUCCCAUCAUAUCACACUGCUGCUCAAAAACCUACAAUGCCUAAUCUAAACACAGCACAUAUGCUAUGCUAUGCUAUGCUAAGUCACUUCAGUCGUGUCCGACUCUGUGCGACCCCAUAGACGGCAGCCCACCAGCACAUAAAAGGCGCUAAAUAUUGACUGGCUGUCUUAUUGCUUCUAAAUCCAAAUCUAAGUAAAUAUUUCCCCGGCACAAAGUCAUUAUUUUAGGUAUUGUGUCACUUACGGAUUGAGUGAUUCUCAGUUCCACCUUAUUCGUGGUUUGGACUAGCCUGUGAAAAUGGAUCCUGGGCUUUAAUUUUUCCUGCGGCGCUGGCGCUGACGUUUUGUCAAUAGAGGGCGCCAGAGAGACAAUACAGAAGAAAAAGGACUUCCCUGGUGGCUCAGACGAUAAAGCGUCUGCCUGCAAUGCAGGAGACCCGGAAUCGAUCCCUGGGUUGGGAAGAUCCCCUGACGAAGGAAAUGGCAACCCACUCCAGUACUCUUGCCUGGAAAACCCCAUGGACAGAGAACCUGGUGGGCUACAGUCCAUGGGGUCGCAAAGAGUCGGACACCACUGAGCGCCUUCACUUUCGCUUUCUUCAGGGUGCUUCCUCAGCAGUUCUCCUGCACCUGCGGGGCCAUCGUGUGCCGGGCUCCUCCAGCACUCAGAGGUGCCCUGGUGCCCAGCCUCUUCCCUGUUCUGCCCUGCAGCCAGCAGCCCCACAGACCCCACCUCCCCGACUCCAUCCUCGGUGUCUCCACACUCUCCUGCAGUUUUAUAGUAGAGUGCCUCCAGUGAUCAAGACAACUGCCCAUGAACUCUUUUCCUUCACACUUCAGAGCGCAGCUUUCUAGAAAUGUCCACUGUCUGGCACCGACAAUAACUUCUCUAGCUUUCGUCAACCCCUCAUUGGCCACCUGAUGCAAAGAACUGACUUAUUUGAAAAGACCCUGAUGCUGGGAAAGACUGAGGGCAGGAGGAGAAGGGGAAGACAGAGGAGGAGAUGGUUGGAUGGCAUCACUGACUGGAUGGACAUGAGUUGGAGUAAACUCCGGGAGUUGGUGAUAGGAAAGCCCAGGGUGCUGCAGUCCAUGGGGUCGCAAAGAGUGGGAUACAACUGAGCGACUGAACUGACUGUCUGUGAUGUAGAAUUCUUUACCUUGAACUUCUCAUGUUCAGAUCACACGGUGAUUUCUCUCUCCUAAUUGGACCCUGUCGGACACGACUGAAGCGACUUAGCAGCAGCAGCAGUGUCAUUCUAGGGCUGCAUCCUUGAGCUGUUAUAAACUAUGUCAGUGUUUUCCCAGGUCUUUGUAGGCCAAGGUUGAAGCCUGGUUGUGAAGAGGGCUCAGAGGAGCCUGGCUAGAAUUUGGUCCAGGAGAAAAGCUUUGUUACCUAGCAACCACUCCCAGCUGAUGGUCAAGGAGAAAAGCUGUUACCUAGCAACCACUCACAGC